Long non-coding RNA from Aquila chrysaetos chrysaetos, 4785 nucleotides. RefSeq lists it as uncharacterized. The transcript has 5 exons. The record is from RefSeq and is a predicted model, not a curated record. Lineage: Eukaryota; Metazoa; Chordata; Aves; Accipitriformes; Accipitridae.
UACGGUGACCAUGCAUGUAGCAUGUGCACCGUACGCCCAGCAGUUCUCCAUGUAGUUAGGCAGUGCAUGUGUAUGUGUUAGGAAUGUGCACUGUGUAAGCAGAAUUUAAAACAUUUUGUGAAAAGUGUUGAGUCUGACGUUUUCUGUCCACCUCCAGUUGCGCAGAAGCCCUGAGCGUGUUUCUCUGGGACCAAGGGCAUUGCUUUUUGAAGCGUUCAGCCCUAGGGUACAGCAGCACAGACCUUUCACCAUGGAUAGGCUACCUUACAUCCACAAAUCUCAGAAAAAUAUAACAGCACCUCCAGGCCUUCCCAGACAAGAUUCCCAAGCACACAUACAAAAAAGAGAACACAUGUAAGGGAAUAAAAGAGCAAAUAAAAGGUGGCUGCAAUGGAGCCUCUCUCAUCUUUGUGCUACGAUGCCAAAAUCAUACCAAGCAUCGGCAUAAAAUUCGGAGGAAGCAAAAUGUUCAGCUUUCAAAACUGAAGGAGGUAACCGAAGAAGGCUUUUUUUCCUCUCGACAUGGAGAUGUAUCUGAAGAUCAUCUCCCCCAGAGGGCAGUGCAACUUAAAGAAUGGCAUUUAAAUGGAAAUUGGCAAUUUGAAGAUGUGUUUUUUAUCUCAAGAGAGUUAACAGAAAAAUAGUCUACAGGGAUGUAUUUUCUGGAAUAAAUCUGUGUACACAGUACGACUCUACCUUUCAUGCACUUUAAGCCAUAUUUAAGUGAAAUCUACAGAAAUCCCUUUUUUUGCCCUUGAUCCUCUAAAUGAAAAGUAAUAUUGAAAUAAUGUCUGUGAUAACAGAUUAUGAUAUCCAGGGUUAUAGCUCUAUUGUGAGAGAGAAGUGGAGUACAAAAGAAUAAAAUUCUUGUUUCUGAUGGACUGUACAAAGACUCGUAAUAGAGAUAUCUGAAAUUAAAUGGAAUUCAGAGGCCAUAUUUUUUAAGGACUGACCUCGACGCAAAUCUAAUACCGAUUCAAAUAAAUAGAUAGGACUAUAGAAUAAACGUUUCUCUUUAUCUUCCUCUUACAAGUUUUUUUUGUUCUAACAAUACCUGUUCCUGUAGAUCAAAAUCAAAUGAUGCAAUGGACUUAAAUGCUAAAGCAUUAUUAUGUAUGUUUAUAAAAUUAUGUUUUGUCAUAUUGAAAAAUACAUUACUGAGUAGAAAUUGAUUAACAACAUACAUUUUUUUGUAAAUAUGUAUGGUUUUAAUCCUUCUUUUAGAAAAGAGUGAAUAAUCCGAAACUUCUAUACAGCUACUGUCAUGAAGCAAAGAACAAAAAAUCAUCAGAUUGUGUCGAAUUGCUGUCACUCCAUUCGUGGCAACAGAAGAUUAAAUGCAGAUUGGGUCAAGAUUGUUAUUAACGUUCCUAUUAAGCCCCAUCACAGUCAUUGCAAGUGAGAGAGGAAAAUUAAUUUCUACCUCUGUUACUGUUAUUGUUUGCUUGGAAAAAAUGCUCGCUAGUGGUAAAUUAACAAGACAGUUCCACAUCACUACAUAAUGCUCUAUGUUCUUAACAGGAAAAGACAGAAAUAUCUGCAAUAAAAUCAAACCCCCUCAAUCUGUAUAGUGUAGUAUGGUUCAGUGUUUCUAAAUAAUUGGCAUUUUAGAGACUGCUGCUAGCAUUGUAUCAACGUAUGAUGGAUGCCUUUAAAACACAAUACUGACAACUUUCAUUCUAUUCCCAUCUUGCCUAGCAGUCCAACUGUGAGAAGCUUUGUGUUUGUAUUGUUCAUCCUGGGGAUAUGUCUAAAGAAACCUGUGGAAUUCAUCAAGGAAUGAUUUUUUUUUUCCCCUUAUUGUUUGUCAGCCAGUGAGAUUUUAGAAGACCUGGGUCCAUCUGUGUUCUUCAACAUCAUCUGGUCUUGCGUAUCGGAGGGCUCACCCAGGUGUCUGAGAGGACCUGAGGACACAUAACUGGCACUGCCUUGGGCUGCUGUCAGUCUCACGCCUCAGUGACCAGAGACCUGGUCGCAGUGGCUUUGCCGAAGGCAGCUUUCGGCACAGGUUUGGCGGGAUGCUUGUGCUCAGGGUUCCCUGGGUGCACGCUGGCCGGCUGCGACUCCUCUGGUGCCCUGGUCCCCUGCCCGUGAAUAAACGCUGAUCAACAGCCUAAUGAGAACAGGGAGAGAAAAUGCUGUGAAAGCUGCCCCUGCGCAUCUUUCAUGCGUGUUCAGUGUUAAAUGGAGAUUUUGGAGAAAGGAACGCAGUUCCUGCAGUUUGAUGAGUUGUGACGAGACCUCCUCUGCAGAGUCCUGGGAGACCGGCAGGGACACAUGUUGGCUGUAAUCCUUGAACCCAAGAGCUGCCCUUGUGCAGAGAAAUCGGAGGCGGAAUUUGUACAAGUGUGCUUGACAUGGCUACGCUUUAGCAACUCGCACAGCCACAAGCACCGAAGUACUGAAUAUGAGGAAAGUUUGGACUACAGCAUGAACUGUGCAUCUGUAUAAGCUCACGUAAGAGAGUGCAACACUAUUCAAGUCAACUUUUGUAAAUGUUGGUUUGAAGAACAGUGUUUUUUUCCCUGCUAAAUCUGAGCUUCAUCAUUCAUGGUAUUCUGCACUAGAGUAAUGGUAUUGGAGCAGUUGCUUUAUAAUAAUGAUGGAAAAGCCACAGGCUAGAGGAAGUAUUCAGAAGCACUGGUAUUUCUAUGACUGCUUUGGAAUACGUUCAGCACUUAUUUCCUCCUUAUGCAUAUGAAUUUACCCAAGCACAGCAAGGUUUUGUUGCAUGCAUCUGGUUCACUGCUCUGCAUUGUGGAAGUUUGUCAUAAUGAAAAACACAGGAAUCUCGACAACAAAAGCCCGGCUGAUGUGUGGGUGAAACUGGCAGAUAACCUGGCUGCUCUGUGAAGCCUGGGUCUCGAUGGUGUGCCCUGUUCCUACUCACCUGAGCCGCAAGCUCACACAAGGAUGAUGGCAUCUCAGGUACUACAUCAUGACCUAUGACCACCUUUGAUGGUUAAACAUUGACCCACAAGACAUUAUCAGGAAAGAUCAGCUUAACUUCUAUCCUAGAAAACAUCUGUCUUCAAUGACAACAUGUGCCAUAGGCAGUGUGUGGCAACCGUAGAGGAAAAGUGUUCAUCUAAAGGAAAUACUACCUGACCUCCCUCCUUCUCGGGGCUGUCAGGGCUCUAGCCUGUGGUGACUCCAGCUCCUCUGGCUCUCCAGAACCUGCAGCAGUCAGCAGCACGGUCAGGACAGCUUCUGCCGGCUCCUCAUUGCACUCUCGUCUUACAUCUUACCGCAGCUUGUCCCAAGCACCCGGACUGUUUGACACUACCAUGACACGAAACUUUCAAUGCUGAACUAGAUUAACUCUUAUUUUGACUCUAGGGCUAAAGCUAGGACAGUCAGUCCUGGGUUGUGCUGUCUCCUGGUGGGGAUUGGCACUACGGUUUUCAGCAGCUUCCCACCAUUUCUGGAGUGACCCCAGACCAGCUUUGUUUCUGGGCAAAGGAAUUUGGUGAAAGCUGAUCAAGUUGUGAAUAGCGUUUGCCUAUCUCCAUGUAGUAAACUUAUUUCAGGUAGGCAUGCAAGGUCUCGUAAAAAAGGCAAUGAGAUUUUCUGCCAGCUCUGAGCAGUGAAUCAGAGCUUGGGGACAAAAAUGUUGUUCUUGUCUACCCACCUGAUAUCCAGGUAAGAAGAGCCAGCUCCAGGCUACUCAACAACAGAGGCAGAUUUCAAUUUCAAUGCUCCAAGAAAAAGAAUAAAAUGUAAUUUGACUUCUUUCUGGGGUGGUAAACUCUGUGACAGCAGUGUGUCAAGUGAGGCAGAUGAUACAACUGGUCUUAAGGAGGUCAGUGGCGGUUUCAGGGCGAUGUGGAUGGUGAAAGACAAGGUUCAAGUGGUGCUGGUCCAAGUGGUGCUGGGGGUGGAUUAAAAAUCACUAUCCAGAGUCCCUCAUACUGGGUAAAUUAGAGGCCCAGAAAUGCCCUCAUCUAUCUCUUGCAACAUGCCAAACUGAAGGCCACUCUAAAGCUUUCUUAACGCUUUCUUAAAUGAUGUGCCCUAGAUAAACAUCUGGUUGCCCAAGCUCUCCUGCGUAGUCAGCGAGUGGACGAUAGUUAACCCGCUGCUAUUUUUCUCAUUGAUUUAAGCACAGAGUCUGGAGGGAGAGGGCUUUGGACUCUGGCAUCUUGGUGACAGGACUCCAAGCCUCAGGACUGGAGACAUGUUUCAGGAGGCGGACGAGCUCCUACCUGCGUGUAUAUCCUAACCCAGACGAUGGAGAUUGAAAGCGGAGAGCAGCCUGCAAGAGCACGAUCAGUUGGGGUGAAUCUGGACUUGCAUAUCCAAGCAGGCACAUUCUGGUGUCCCAGCAUGUGUGACGUGGUUUGGGCCUAUAAAUAUGCAGCAUAUCUUUGUAUAUAAAACAUAGACAUUAGUGCAAAAGAAAUACGUUAAGCCCAUGAUGAAUAUUUUUAUACCAUGCUUAUAAAUUGAAUUUACAGUGUUAUGGUUUUAUCCUUAUCAGCUUAGCUAGUGACAGAUGCCAUUCUGGACCCCAGGUAACAUCCCUAGCAUUCCAUUUAGUAGCAGAUAUUUUCAAAUCCAAGCAGUAUAAAUGCUGAUUCUUGCUGAAACUCAUGUUUAUACAACUGUUUAUGCACAUCUUUCUAAAGAGAGGGCCACAGAUAGUCAAGCUUAGGAGGCUGGGAACCAUUUUAUAGAUCACUCUGGUGUUCUCGUGUCAAGACUAGAUAUGCCAUUAACUGAAAAGUUUGGAAAAUGUUUUUUCCCUAUGUUUCAGUGUUUCAAUUAAAAGUAUUUUUUUCUUUC